RNAcentral lists this ribosomal RNA (234 nucleotides) under uncultured fungus. RNAcentral's name for it is "partial 18S ribosomal RNA". It matches the Rfam family "Eukaryotic small subunit ribosomal RNA", at positions 548 to 785 of the family's 1831-position model. RNAcentral also lists the same sequence under 1 other name. The record is from RNAcentral. Lineage: Eukaryota; Fungi.
UUGGAGGGCAAGUCUGGUGCCAGCAGCCGCGGUAAUUCCAGCUCCAAUAGCGUAUAUUAAAGUUGUUGCAGUUAAAAAGCUCGUAGUUGAAUUUCGGGACCAAUUUGUUGGUCGUGCCUCGGUACGUACUGGUAUUAUUGGUUUCUCCCUUCUGAAGAACCUUGAUGUCAUUAAUUUGGUGUCUUGGGGAAUCAGGACUGUUACUUUGAAAAAAUUAGAGUGUUUAAAGCAGGC